Molecule: long non-coding RNA, 839 nt
Filed under: Homo sapiens (human)
Lineage: Eukaryota; Metazoa; Chordata; Mammalia; Primates; Hominidae
Description: HSALNT0369285
Source: RNAcentral
GGUAUGAGGAGGUUGCUAUAGAAGCUGAGCCAAGGGAGCCCCUACCUCUGGCCUGGGGGCAAGAGGAACCAUUGAAGAAAAUUUGAAACCUCUGAAAUAGGCAGGGAUAAAAAGUGUCCCAGAGACAGUUACACUAUGUGAGAAGUAAAUGGGAGGUGAGAAAAUGGAACCAAGCUGGGUAAACAAGGCAUGGCCAGAGAAAUUCGCAGUGCUCCAGCCUGCUUUUCCACUGUAGGAAUCUCUUCCCUCUCCUGUGAAAAGGCCACGGAGGAGAGCUCAGGCCUUUCUCCAUCGCACUGUGUAAGAGCUUGGCAAUUGGACUCCCGGACAUCCCUCUCCUGGAUGCAAGAACAGAGAGGCAGCCUCAGCCCCGGCCGUUUGUUCAGCCCCCCAACUGUGUGUACAAGGUCUGUCCGAGGUGGUGCAUAUGCAGGCAGCAUGAAGUCCAGCUACUUCUCUCUCCAGCCUCCCCCAUCAUUGGCCUGCCACAGCGCCUGGGAAGAACUGAGAAAAGACUGUUAGACCUUGUUUAUUGAACAACGUGUUAUGAGAUAACUUUUAGGAUGUUUUGGGGCCAUUUCCUCAAUCUCUGUAAAAGUUUUUAUUUGUUAUUUUCCUUCUGGUACUUCCAUCUGGUACUAUUUACUUUUUAUCCUCCCACCUGUUAUCAUUUCUCUCACCCCUAAAACAUAACAAGACAUUUCUGAUAAUGUGUGAUGUUUAUCCUUUUAGUGAGAGGCAUUAGAUAGUAGAUAAAUAAGACGGGGAGUUUUAAAGUAGUUUUUCCUCAGUAUAAUUUAAAGCAGGAUUUUUUUUUUUUAAAUUUAUUUUUAGCUGCU